This is an RNA transcript of Gadus macrocephalus (Pacific cod), 3112 nucleotides long. It is a transcript of the gene named fucosyltransferase 11 (alpha (1,3) fucosyltransferase), with no coding region annotated. The record is from RefSeq and is a predicted model, not a curated record. The transcript is spliced from 6 exons. NCBI's taxonomy places the organism in Eukaryota, Metazoa, Chordata, Actinopteri, Gadiformes, Gadidae.
GAGAUAUUCAGAAGUGCAGCUCUCACACACAGCUGGGUUUUAUUUUCUCUGUGCAGUUUUAUGAUGUGGACAGCAUCUGCGACAGAAAAGGGAUACAUGUUACCGUUGUUUGGAUGUGCUUCCUAACUGUCACACUGGAUACGCUGCAGCCCUGACAAUGAUGGCGGUGAGGAGGAGACUGCUCCCCUGCGCGUGUCUGGGGCUGCUGGGUCUCCUGUGCUGGGUCUUGGUCUCCGGUGCCUUUUCCCCUGAGACGGAGCACCAAAUGGAGUUCAUGGACGCCAGUGAGCUGGGAGCUUUUCAGCCGCAGAGUGCCCUGUCAGACAUGGAGUUCUCAGCCAUCAGCUCAUACCGUGGCCCUGGCAACAAGGACCAGCGUAGCAACAAGGAGCUACCCAUUCUGCUGUGGUGGAGCGCGGGACUCUUCCCCCACUUUCCCGGGGACACGGAGCGCAUCGACUGUGCCACUUCUUCGUGCAUGGCCACGAGUAAUCGCAAGGUCCAGCACCACAAGAGGACGGCUUCCAUCAUCUUCUACGGGACGGACUUCCGGGCGUACGAGGCGCCGCUCCCCCGGCCGCCCCACCAGACCUGGGCGCUGUUCCACGAGGAGUCGCCCAUGAACAACUACCUGCUCUCCCACGGGCCGGGCAUCCGCCUGUUCAACCACACGGCCACCUUCAGCCGGGGCUCGGACUACCCGCUGACGCUGCAGUGGCUGCCCACCCUCAGCUACCUGCUGCAGCCCGCCGCCGUGCCACUGCGGGAGAAGAACCUGUGGCGGGCCAAGGGCCUGGCCCCCGUGCUCUACAUGCAGUCCCACUGCGACGUGCCCUCGGACCGAGACCGCUACGUCCGGGAGCUCAUGAAGUACAUCGAGGUGGACUCCUACGGGAAGUGCCUGAACAACAAGGCGCUGCCGGCGGAGCUGGAGGACACGGCCACGGCCACCGGCGAGGAGCCACGCUUCAUGAGCUUCGUGGCGCGCUACAAGUUCCACCUGGCGCUGGAGAACGGCCUGUGCUCCGACUACAUGACGGAGAAGCUGUGGCGCCCGCUGCACCAGGGCUGCGUGCCCGUCUACCGGGGCUCGCCGUCGGUGGCCGACUGGAUGCCCAACGGCCGCGCCGUGGUGCUGGUCGACGACUUCUCCUCCCCCGAGGAGCUGGCCGCCCUCCUGCGGCGCCUGGACCAGGACGACGAGGCCUACGCCCGCUACCUGGAGUACAAGGCCCCCGACGGCGGCGGCGUCGCCAACGCCCGCCUGCUGGAGCGGCUGGAGGCCCGGGAGUGGGGCGUGAACGACAUGAGCAAGCCCAACUACCUCAACGGGUUCGAGUGCUACGUGUGCGACCGGGAGAACGCCCGCCUGGCCGCCGAGCGGGCCCAUCGGCGGGCGCCGCAGCAGGCCCCGCCUCCGCCGCCGGCCAAGAUGGCCAACAACUCCCACAUGGGCUGUCCGCUGCCCAGGCCGGGGUACGGAGACAUCGGAGACGUCCCGCCUGAUGAUGGAUGGUUGCAAAUAUGGCCCCUGGAUUACUGGCAAAGCCUGGACCAAGCAGAAGGUCUGGAGUCUCUGAUUAGACAUAAUGAGUCGGACCCUUCGCUCCUGUGGCAGCACAUCCAGAACAUCGCUGUGAGGAGAGCCAGAGGGAAGCACUGACACUUUGACGGACAGAAGAUGGGUCACAGCAGGAUUCACCCACGGUGCCCUGUGGCGACUGUUGGGAGGUCGUGUUCUCCCUCUGUUACAAUGACCGAAUAAUACAUCCAUCAGUUAGGGGAGGGUUCUUAAGAGUUAUAUUUUAAUAUUUAGAGUAUUAGCAUACUUUUUCACAAUUCCUGAAUAUUUUAAUUGUAAUCAGUGAAUCAAUUCCCCGACACAAUCAUUCCUUCGUUACUGAAACCUAUUAUAUAUACAUACCUCUGACAGUAUUGAAUAUAUCAGUAUUACAUUUUUACAUCUAAAACUCUUUAUUCGGGUUCAUUGGAUCUCUUUAUCGAUUCUUGACUAGAAAUCGUACAGAAUACUAAAAGGGCUGCUCACUGGCAUUCCUGCCUCUCACGACAUGGGCUCAGCACCCCAGUCAGAGGUGUGUGUGUGUGUGUGUGUGUGUGUGUGUGUGUGUGUGUGUGUGUGUGUGUGUCCCUUCACAGGGUACCUAUAGCCCUCCACCUUCAGGGCAUCUGUGCUAUUUGGAGCUCCUCAAUUGCCCGUAUUGUGUGCGAAUGACUCUGUACCGGCCUGGGAUCCCAUCCAGAGGAGCUGUUGACCUUUGCAGUCUAUUGUCCAGACCUUUCAGGCUUGGUCGGCACAGUCAUCCAGGAAAAAAAUGAUGAAGGGACGGACAAUACUUCAACACUAUGGCAUACAAAUGUAAAAUGACCUGGGGGGGGGGGUCGUUCUAGGCCUAUACCUGUGUUAUGACUAUCAAAGACUGUACCUUUUGCAAAAAGCUGAAUAUGCUCUUUUGUUAUGCACAGCAGGUAGUUGCAUAAUCUUAAACUGCAUUAACAUAUUGUCUGACUAAUUAAGGAUGUUGAGAUAUGCAAUGAAAAUGGUGUCUGACUGAGGGAUAUUAAGAAAACAGGCAAAUGUAAUAUUUACAAAAGUUAAGUUCAGAAUUCCUAGAGGAAGUUAAUCCAUGUGCAAUAGCUUCAAGGGACAUCUCACUGGCACUGUAAUGUAUAAAAUCGCCUGCAACUAUUGAGGAAUUGCAGAUGUUCCACUAGCCUAACCUUAGUUCACCAUCUGUGCAAUAUGUUAAUUUUCAAAUUGGGAAUUGCCUCCCUUUAAAAUAUGCAGCCUGUAGACUUAAUAAUCAUGUGCAUGGGGCUGUCGUUACCAGCCAGAUAAACACACAUUUAUAAGGGGAUUCUGUAAAUCACUUUAUUUUAAAAGCAAAGGAUCACAGAAAGUGAACAUAUUUUGUACAUCAAGAAAUAAAAAGUUAACUUUUUAUAAAAAUGAUUUUAUGUAUAUUCAUCCCAAUUACUACCAUAUGGUGUAUUGUACCCAAAAACCAGCUUUAGUCUAUUCACAGUUUCAUUGUGUGUGAGACAAAUCCUUCGUAGUGCACUGGAACAGACACCAUAUUCACCAUCGGAGAGA